AAAUUGAAGAGUUUGAUCAUGGCUCAGAUUGAACGCUGGCGGCAGGCCUAACACAUGCAAGUCGAACGGUAACAGGAAGCAGCUUGCUGCUUUGCUGACGAGUGGCGGACGGGUGAGUAAUGUCUGGGAAACUGCCUGAUGGAGGGGGAUAACUACUGGAAACGGUGGCUAAUACCGCAUAAUGUCGCAAGACCAACGAGGGGGACCUUCGGGCCUCUUUCCAUCAGAUGUUCCCAGCUGGGAUUAGCUUGUUGGUGAGGUAACGG
This 266-nucleotide ribosomal RNA is filed under the name Salmonella enterica subsp. enterica serovar Schwarzengrund. RNAcentral describes it as "partial 16S ribosomal RNA". It matches the Rfam family "Bacterial small subunit ribosomal RNA", at positions 1 to 263 of the family's 1533-position model. The record is from RNAcentral. Lineage: Bacteria; Pseudomonadati; Pseudomonadota; Gammaproteobacteria; Enterobacterales; Enterobacteriaceae.